This 253-nucleotide ribosomal RNA is filed under the name uncultured bacterium. RNAcentral describes it as "partial 16S ribosomal RNA". It matches the Rfam family "Bacterial small subunit ribosomal RNA", at positions 524 to 776 of the family's 1533-position model. The record is from RNAcentral.
UACAGAGGGUGCAAGCGUUAAUCGGAAUUACUGGGCAUAAAGCGUGCGCAGACGGUUGCGUAAGUCAGAUGUGAAAGUCCUGGGCUUAACCUGGGGACUGCAUUUGAUACUGGGUUGCUUGAAUUCGGGAGAGGAUAGCGGAAUUCCCAGUGUAGAGGUGAAAUUCGUAGAUAUUGGGAAGAACACCGGUGGCGAAGGCGGCUAUCUGGACCGACAUUGACGCUGAGGCGCGAAAGCGUGGGGAGCAAACAGG